GAUGAACGCUGGCGGCGCUGCUUAACACAUGCAAGUCGAACGAUGAAGCCCAGCUUGCUGGGUGGAUUAGUGGCGAACCGGUGAGUAACACGUGAGUAACCUGCCCUUAACUCUGGGAUAAGCCUGGGAAACUGGGUCUAAUACCGGAUAGGAGCGCCUACCGCAUGGCGGGUGUUGGAAAGAUUUAUCGGCUUUGGAUGGACUCCCGGCCUAUCAGCUUGUUGGUGAGGUAAUGGCUCACCAAGGCGACGACGGGUAGCCGGCCUGAGAGGGUGACCGGCCACUCUGGGACUGACACACGGCCCCGACUCCUACGGGAGGCUGCAGAGGGGAAUAUUGCACCAUGGGCGCUAGCCUGAUGCACCGACGCCUCGCGAGGCAUGACGGCCUCCUUCUUGCCCACCUCUUGCACCACGCAAGAAGCCAAAGUGACGCUCCCUGUCCAACAAUUGUCGGGUAACCACGUGCCUGCUGCCGAGGUCACACUUGCGGUGCGAGCGCCCCUCCGGAAUUACUGUAGCGUAUUGAGCUCGUAGGCGGCUUGUCGCGUCUGUCGUGAAAGACCGGGGCUUAACCCCCGAUCUGCGGUGGGUACGGGCAGACUAGAGUGCAGUAGGGAAGACUGGAAUUCCUGGUGUAGCGGUGGAAUGCGCAGAUAUCAGGAGGAACACCGAAUGGCGAAGGCAGGUCUCUGGGCUGUAACUGACGCUGAGGAGCGAAAGCAUGGGGAGCGAACAGGAUUAGAUACCCUGGUAGUCCAUGCCGUAAACGUUGGGCACUAGGUGUGGGGACCAUUCCACGGUUUCCGCGCCGCAGCUAACGCAUUAAGUGCCCCGCCUGGGGAGUACGGCCGCAAGGCUAAAACUCAAAGGAAUUGACGGGGGCCCGCACAAGCGGCGGAGCAUGCGGAUUAAUUCGAUGCAACGCGAAGAACCUUCCCAAGGCUUGACAUGUUCUCGAUCGCCGUAGAGAUACGGUUUCCCCUUUGGGGCGGGUUCACAGGUGGUGCAUGGUGGUCGUCAGCUCGUGUCGUGAGAUGUUGGGUUAAGUCCCGCAACGAGCGCAACCCUCGUUCCAUGUGGCCAGCACGUAAUGGUGGGGACUCAUGGGAGACUGCCGGGGUCAACUCGGAGGAAGGUGAGGAUGACGUCAAAUCAUCAUGCCCCUUAUGUCUUGGGCUUCACGCAUGCUACAAUGGCCGGUACAAUGGGUUGCGAUAUUGUGAGGAGGAGCUAAUCCCAAAAAGCCGGUCUCAGUUCGGAUUGGGGUCUGCAACUCGACCCCAUGAAGUCGGAGUCGCUAGUAAUCGCAGAUCAGCAACGCUGCGGUGAAUACGUUCCCGGGCCU
This 1347-nucleotide ribosomal RNA is filed under the name uncultured bacterium. RNAcentral describes it as "bacterial SSU rRNA". It matches the Rfam family "Bacterial small subunit ribosomal RNA", at positions 28 to 1381 of the family's 1533-position model. The record is from RNAcentral.